GCCGGGCAUGGUGGCGCAUGCCUGUAAUCCCAGCUACUUGGGAGGCUGAGGCAGAAGAAUCACUUGAACCUGGGAGGCAGAGGUUGCAGUGAGCCCAGAUUGCACCACUGCACUCCAGCCUGGGCAACAGAGUAAGACCCUGUCUCCU
Molecule: non-coding RNA, 148 nt
Filed under: Nomascus leucogenys (northern white-cheeked gibbon)
Lineage: Eukaryota; Metazoa; Chordata; Mammalia; Primates; Hylobatidae
Source: Rfam by way of RNAcentral